AUGCCAGCAGCCGCGGUAAUACGUAGGGGGCGAGCGUUACCCGGAAUUACUGGGCGUAAAGGGGGCGUAGGCGGCCCGGCAAGUCAAGUGUGAAAUCCGGCGGCUCAACCGCUGGGCUGCGCUUGAAACUGCCGGGCUUGAGUGCAGCAGAGGGAGACGGAAUUGCCGGUGUAGGGGUGAAAUCCGUAGAUAUCGGCAAGAACGCCGGUGGGGAAGCCGGUCUCCUGGGCUGUUACUGACGCUGAGGCCCGAAAGCUGGGGGAGCGAACCGGAUUAGAUACCCGGGUAGUCCCAGCCGUAAACGAUGCUCACUAGGUGUGGGGGAGUAAUUCCUCCGUGCUGAAGCUAACGCGAUAAGUGGGCCGCCUGGGGAGUAUGCCCGCAAGGGUGAAACUUAAAGGAAUUGGCGGGG
This 412-nucleotide ribosomal RNA is filed under the name uncultured prokaryote. RNAcentral's name for it is "bacterial SSU rRNA". It matches the Rfam family "Bacterial small subunit ribosomal RNA", at positions 505 to 918 of the family's 1533-position model. The record is from RNAcentral.